AGUCUGACCUGCCCUAUGAAAAUUUUAAAUGGCCGCGAUAUUUUGAUCGUGCAAAGGUAGCAUAAUAAUUAGUUUUUUAAUUGGGAACUGGAAUGAAAGGUCGAACGAAAAAAAACUGUCUCAAUUUAACUUUAAUUAGAAUUUUAUAUUUAAGUAAAAAAGCUUAAAUAUUUUUAAAAGACGAGAAGACCCUAUAGAGUUUUAUAUUAAAUAACAAAUUUUUAAGUUUAAGAAUUUAAUUUUAAAAUUAUUAGUUUAAUAUUUGGUUGGGGUGAUUAAAAAAUUUAAUAAACUUUUUUUAUUUAAUUUAAAACAUUGAUUUAUGAAAAAGUGAUCCAUAUUUUAUGAUUAAAAGAUUAAAUUACCUUAGGGAUAACAGCGUAAUUUUUUUUGAGAGUUCUUAUCGAAAAAAGAGUUUGCGACCUCGAUGUUGGAUUAAAAUUUACUUUUGGUGUAGGGGCUAAAAAGUUAGGUCUGUUCGACCUUUAAAAUUUU
This 495-nucleotide ribosomal RNA is filed under the name Onthophagus asperulus. Its description in RNAcentral is "partial 16S ribosomal RNA". It matches the Rfam family "Bacterial large subunit ribosomal RNA", at positions 1851 to 2597 of the family's 2925-position model. Lineage: Eukaryota; Metazoa; Arthropoda; Insecta; Coleoptera; Scarabaeidae. The record is from RNAcentral.